Molecule: ribosomal RNA, 466 nt
Filed under: uncultured bacterium
Lineage: Bacteria
Description: bacterial SSU rRNA
Rfam family: Bacterial small subunit ribosomal RNA
Source: RNAcentral
UGGCCAGACUCCUACGGGAGGCAGCAGUGAGGAAUAUUGGUCAAUGGGCGAGAGCCUGAACCAGCCAAGUCGCGUGAGGGAGUACUGCCCUAUGGGUUGUAAACCUCUUUUGUCGGGGAGCAAAAGCCGGACGUGUCCGGCUGUGAGAGUACCCGAAGAAAAAGCAUCGGCUAACUCCGUGCCAGCAGCCGCGGUAAUACGGAGGAUCCGAGCGUUAUCCGGAUUUAUUGGGUUUAAAGGGAGCGUAGGCGGGUUGUUAAGUCAGUUGUGAAAGUUUGCGGCUCAACCGUAAAAUUGCAGUUGAUACUGGCAUCCUUGAGUACAGUAGAGGUAGGCGGAAUUCGUGGUGUAGCGGUGAAAUGCUUAGAUAUCACGAAGAACUCCGAUUGCGAAGGCAGCCUGCUGGACUGUAACUGACGCUGAUGCUCGAAAGUGUGGGUAUCAAACAGGAUUAGAUACCCCGGUA